AAGUGUGUUGCUUAAUGCUUUCCUCAGCUGAACAAAAAGAAACAAAUGCAUACUGCUGCUAGAGCAAACUCUUCCGUUUUAUUGUUUAUUAUUAUCAGGGCCAUGUCUUUGUUUGUUGUCUACUCCCCCAAAAUGAAUACAUACAUACUCCAACAGCAGCAGUCUCAGAACGAAAUUAAUCAAUUGGUGCCGGUCAAUCUGUGCACUGACUAGAAAGAAACCGUUAAUACUACAUACACACCAGCGGAUCAAUCAUGC
RNAcentral lists this long non-coding RNA (258 nucleotides) under Hordeum vulgare. Its description in RNAcentral is "long non-coding RNA (HVUL_LNC020383)". The record is from RNAcentral. Lineage: Eukaryota; Viridiplantae; Streptophyta; Magnoliopsida; Poales; Poaceae.